This 468-nucleotide ribosomal RNA is filed under the name uncultured bacterium. RNAcentral describes it as "partial 16S ribosomal RNA". It matches the Rfam family "Bacterial small subunit ribosomal RNA", at positions 331 to 792 of the family's 1533-position model. The record is from RNAcentral.
CCAGACUCCUACGGGAGGCAGCAGUGGGGAAUCUUCCGCAAUGGGCGAAAGCCUGACGGAGCAACGCCGCGUGAUCGAAUGAAGGCCUUCGGGUUGUAAAGAUCUGUUGAUAGGGACGAAUAAGCAAUGCGAAUAGUUUUGUGUAUGACGGUACCUGUUUAGAAAGCUCCGGCUAACUACGUGCCAGCAGCCGCGGUAAUACGUAGGGAGCAAGCGUUGUCCGGAAUUACUGGGCGUAAAGGGCGCGUAGGUGGGCGCUUAAGUCAGGUGUGAAAACUCCGGGCUCAACCUGGAGACUGCACUUGAAACUGGGUGUCUUGAGGGCAGGAGAGGAAAGUGGAAUUCCUAGUGUAGCGGUGAAAUGCGUAGAUAUUAGGAGGAACAUCGGUGGCGUAAGCGCUUUACUGGGCCGUAAUUGACACUGAGGAACGAAAGCCGGGGUAGCAAAUGGGAUUAGAUACCCUCGUA